RNAcentral lists this long non-coding RNA (14345 nucleotides) under Daucus carota (carrot). Its description in RNAcentral is "long non-coding RNA (DCAR_LNC000358)". The record is from RNAcentral. Lineage: Eukaryota; Viridiplantae; Streptophyta; Magnoliopsida; Apiales; Apiaceae.
CUGCCACAAGCUCUGAUCUGACUCCAGAAUUCCCCGUCCAUCUCGAACAUUUUUGAAGAAAGAACGAUCAAAAUUGUUACCGCUCCCGUAGUCCAAAGCGAUACGUUUAUUUCCAUCGCCAUUUUUAGGGCAAAGCGAUUGGAGUGUAGGAAGGAACGAGGGAUCGAUGGUAGGAUCAGCACCCCCGGAGUUUGUGAAGUUGUAUAAUCUGUAGCUCACGAAUUGGCAAGCCACUGUUCCAAUAGUGUGUCCUCCUGCAACACAUUUUUGUACUAUAUGGUUUAGAAUGUUGCAUGCAUGCAGAUAGAAAAAUUUCGGAUGUCUGAUAAACGUAUGUAAUAUUGGCUUAUUGCUUACCAACAAGGGUAACAAGAUCUUGAGCGCUUAGACCAACAUCUGCAAAUUUUUUCUUCUGGACCGCGACUGAGUCUGUGAAACUCGGCAAAUUGGCGGUGUCGGACGCCAAUGACACUCGUCCGUCUCUCCGGCCAGUAGGCACGCGAUAAGUCAGUGCACCGACCUGCAUGUGAAAACAUAAGAACAAUGAGAUGCUGAUAUAACAAUGAUCCUACUUCGAAAUAGCAUAAAUUAUUUGAAUUUUUUGGUUAAAAUCAUAUAUAGCACAUUCGAAACAUUUAUCUUACUUCUACUGUGGCAUCACGAGCAGCAAGAGCAAGAAUAUCAGCACACGACACGACUCCGGGGCAUGCUGCCUCUAGCUGUGUUUUGGCAUCCUCAAUCACUUCAUAUCCUCUCAGCAGAAGAUUUGGCCUAGCGGUUUUCUCAGCAUUGCUGCCAUCGAUAAGAAUCGAAGCAUCGCAACCAUGAACGAAGCAAUCAUGGAAGACCAUUCUGAGCAGUCCGGGGGCAACAGUGGAAUCGGAGUUAACAUGUUUCUUAACGGUGGCUUGAACGAUGGAUUCCGCUCUGGGACAAGAGGUGGAAUAGAAGCCGACCCUAGUCUGAGCUAGAGCUAAGGGUGUGGCGACUAGAAGAACAAAUAGAAUAGAGAGUUUGCUAAGGAAAGAAUCCAUUUGAGUUUGUUAUGUGUUGUUAUAAAUUGAUUGUGUGUUUAGAGGAAACGAAGGUGGUGUAUUUAUAGGGACAUAAAAGUGCUAAAAUGGGCUAAACGUGUGGAGACCAGAGAGAACCAGGGUCAAUGAAAAAUACGUGGCAACGGAUUGGAAAAGUUGUCCACUGGUGAGUUGUAGUCCACUCUCGGGCUGCCCAAGUUGUUUGAUUCGUUGAUUGAUAGAAGAGUCAAAUGAAUGUUCAUACAUGCGGUUGCAUAGUUUAAGUUCAAUUUAUGUCAGAUUUUCUCAGACACGUACUCAGUGGAUUAAUAUUUUGGCAUUUACCUCAUAUAUACAUAAAAGUUUGCUCAGAAACUAAUUCCUUCUUGUAAAUUAUAGAGUAAUAAUUAUUGAUUAGAUAUUCAAAAUUCCAACAAUUAUGGACUUACUCGAAAUUCAUUUUACGGUCUUAAAUCAUCGUACAUGCAGUAUUCUAAAAAUCCCCGAUUUAACCGAUAAAUCCCCUGCAAGGUCGGCCACCGAUUCGAUUUUUUAAAUCCGAUUAAUCCUUAUAUAUAUUCCUUAAUCGAAGUAUAUAUGAUAAAUUAUUAAAAUUAAAAUACUAUAUUACUUUAAGUAUGGUUUAUUAUAGAGUUUAUGAAUAUGGUAAAGAUAUUAGUUACUAAAUAGCUAAUAUAAUAAUAACUAAAUAUUAAAUAAUAUUUUAAUAUAAAAACAAAACCGAUUUUCACUCCGAUUAAUCCUUGCGAUUAAUCUCCGAUUUCCGAUUAAUCCCUGAAUCGGUAGCUCAACCGAUUAAGUCCGAUUCUCGAUUUCUGUAACACUGCAUACAUGUAUAAAUAAUAUCUCUAUCAUUUUUUUUUUAAUUUAUACUCAUUUUAUUCUAUUACAUCCACUCCAACUAAACACAACAUAAUUGUGUGUUUGUGUGUAAGCCUAAUAUUACAACUCUUGAAACAUAAUUUGAAAUUAGUUUUACAAAACUAUAUUUGAAAUGUUGUAAAUCAUUGUGCUUGCGGAAAAUGGUGAAGUGGGAACCGGAAAAGAAGCUUAAAUAAGUGUGAAACGCAUACGCAGGCGAAUACCUUGAUGUUACGUUCUAUCAAGGAAACUAAAGUAAUGGCGAAGCUGUUGCAAACUUAAUUUUGUGUGGAGUAUUAGUACUCCAAAUGGAUAGCGUAAACAUGUUUUCUAUUACAAAGUUGUUAGGGUGUCAAAUACUCCGCUAACACUGACAUGCAUGCAUUCCAUGAUUAAAAAACUAAAAAUUACUAAAAGAGAAGGUGGAAACUAUUGACUCGGGGUUCAGCAAAAGUUUUCAAAAGAGUCAAAGCAAUGCGUGUGGGGUCGCGAAUAACUUACUCUGCAUUAUCAUGAAACUUCCUGCACUAGUAUUUAACUAUUCUUUGUCAAGCCUUCUACUUUACUCCCUCAAUUUGUUUUAUUUAACAUUUUAAUUUUUCACACGUAUUUUCUGGUGAAGUGAUCUGAUAAUAUAAUUAUUUUUAUUAUAUUUUUGCCAAUUAUGAUAUUGAUUAUAUAUUUUUAUUCUGAAAAUUAAAAUUUUGAAUUAUUUUUAGUUAUCUAGUCAGAAUAUUUAAAAAUAUGUAUUAGAAACCAAACGUCGAAUAAAAUAAUAAGAUCGAGCUAUAUGUCUAUCAGGGAGGCAAAAACCGCAUGCUGUAUAUGACUGUUCUCAAAAUCUACGUGCCGUGAUAAUCAAAUAGCGGUUUCGUAAAAGAGUGUGAGAAUAAAUUAAAGAGUUUAAGAAGUAAUUAUUCCAGUUAGUUUUCGAUACCUCUUGUGCAAAAAUACAAAUUUUUGCAUAAAACACAGAACUCCUCAUAUUUAAUUUAGAUGGAAUUAAAACACAAAAUAUAUUGUCUUUAAAUGAUUCUACUGAAUAUAUUUUUAAUCAUCGACAGAUUUUGGGAGGACAAAUUUCAAUCUGAACCCUGCAUCAUUCUUUUGAUCACAAAAGAUAUUAAUCAAAAACUUGUCUUCGUCUUCUCUGUUCAUAAGUCAGCUUUUACGCAACAGCUAUUUCAUUAAAGUUUUCUAAAGAUUAUUCAUGUUCGAUAGAAAAUUAUUGUCAGACAUUUUAAUUCACAAAUUAUAUUUCAAAAAUAUUACUAUUUCAUUUGAAAAUUUUAAAAUGUUAUAUAUAUAUUUCACCUUAAAUAUUUUAUUUGCUGAGUUUUGCAGGACAUCUUAUUCACGAUUACAUAUUUUUCUACUCCAUCACAUGGUUUUUUUGCUUACUUUUUAGUUAAACCAGUCAUUGUGUCCGACAGCAAAACCAACACGGACUAUAGGUAUCGAGGACGAUUUCUCUCUGAUGCUAUAGGUAUAUUAUUUGUGUGUAUGGUAGAAUGUAUAUCUAUUAUUUUUUUUUGUCACUUUAUAUGGCAAUUUUUCUUAGCUGUGAUAAUAGAUGAAAACAUGAGCUGAGUUGCUUUUGAGUUUUGACAUAUAAUGUUCAUGGAGAGUUUCAUGUUAAAUGCCUAAAAAAUGUUUACGGAGUAAGGCUGACAGACUAUAUGCACGUAGUAUGAAAAAGUAAGGGGCGACGGGCGUCAUCAGCUCACCUUCACUACAAUAAAAUCGGGUACUUACGACAGAAAUUCGUAUCUAAAAAACAGCGCCGUCCUUGGAUCCGGCACUUCUCCCUUAUUUUUCAUUUGAAAAAAUAUUUAUAAAAAACUUAUGACAUCGUACUCUAGUAUUAUAAUUAUUUGAUUUUUUCAAUUGAAAAAAUAUUAAAAUAUAUAAAAAGCUUACAACGGAUUCGUUUUUCGUCGUAACAAUUUAAGACGGAACUCUACUAAUCCAUAGUAACUUUAUACGCGUGGUCCCUCAUAAGUUAUCUGUUACUAUAACUUAUAAAUGACUUUAUUUGUUGUAGCGCUUGUCGUAUACCCCGGCCUGGUAUAAUUGGCCCCAUCUCCUUCAUUCUAUGCACCACCGUAUAUUUGACUGAACAGACACAUUGCAUCACCAGAUGCCCCACCAUUCAUGAAAUCCCAGUUUUAGUAGAAUAGCACUCAAAUAAGUGAAUAACUCCACUCAAUCUUGUCAUAGCCUUAGCCAUGUCCAACUUAAACGCCAUAAACCCCUCCUUUCCUGUUCUCUUUAGUUUGUGAUAGUGCAUGACUUCAUAACUUAUAAUUAGAAUAUCUAUCUAGGGUUAAAUUUGUAGUGAUAAAUUAAAAUUAAUUUUUUAAUUAAACCGAUCGAUCACAAAAUUAUAAUGUCUUUUCAUUAUAUUUUAUUUUAUAUCAAUUUUUCAGUAUUUGAAUAUCAAAUUCUUAAAAUCAAAAUUAUUUUAAUUUGUAUAUAUCGAUAUAUACAGAAAUCAAUGAUUACUGGGUUAGUCAUUGAUAUUAUAAGAUUAAAAAAAAAUAUCGUAUACUAUUGGGUUUAUUUCCAUCGCCAUUUUUAGGGCAAAGCGAUUGGAGUGUAGGAAGGAACGAGGGAUCGAUGGUAGGAUCAGCACCCCCGGAGUUUGUGAAGUUGUAUAAUCUGUAGCUCACGAAUUGGCAAGCCACUGUUCCAAUAGUGUGUCCUCCUGCAACACAUUUUUGUACUAUAUGGNUCCCUCGCUUACCUUUAAAUAUUUAUAGUGAUCAGAAUAAAAUCGCUCGAUCAAUAUAAAAUAGUUAUCCCUGUCUCAUCACUUGUAUACGUAUAAAAUAUAAUAAUUUCAUAAUAUAUUUCUAAAAUUUAAUAAAAAUUUGAUGUUUAAACUCAUCAAAAAUUAAAAAAAAAAUUAUUAUAAAACUGUAAUUUAUUGGAGUCUCUAAAUGUGUGCAAAUAGUGAAAGUAUACAUCAAAAUAGAGGGACGAAUAUAAUAGUUUGCACUCACAUUCCGUAAAUAAAUCGAGCAUGUACAAAUUACUCGUUUUCAUCCUAUUUAAAUGAAAUAGGAUGAAAACGAGUAAUUUGAUGUUCACUCUAAAUGAAAUGAGGAUGAUAAUUAAAUAAAAAUUACAAAAAUACUGAGAAAAAGAAAAAUAUUUAAAAUAAAAGUAAUUUAGUUUGAAUGAAUUAACUUUUAUGUGAUCAUGUUGGAAUAAUAGUACAAGAAGUAAAAUUUUAAUUAUAAGUACAUGAUUAGAUCUCUAACUAAAGAUAAUCUGAACUAAAAUGAUAAAAGAAAUGGAAAUUAUAAAUAUGGCCCAGCAAGCAAAGUAUAAAUUGUAUUUCAUUAAGUGACCAUUCCUAAUAUAAAAAUAUAUAUAUAUUGUACAUGAAAAACAUCUGUUUCUUAGUUCUUGAAGACGCUUUAUACUCUUUAUAUAUAACUCAAACAAUACGUGUUUGUUUGUAAAUGAACUUUCUUUGCUGUUCGUGGAAGCUUUUACAACUGCAGGCUUAUUUUGCAUCCGCCUACUCAAGUUUUCAUAACUCUAGAACUGGAAUAUCAAAGUUCGACUCUAAUUAACUCUUGAACAGACCUUUCGAAUUUCCCCGGCCGUCCCAGUGUUCACCCCAAUAUUCGUCAUUUUAAUCAUAGAUUUUCCGAAUUCGACGUUCAAAGUCAAUCCAGCCAAGCCUCUGAUACCCAUAAAUCUCUGCGCAAAGUUCCUCGUUGUACUGUCCUGCCACAAGCUCUGAUCUGACUCCAGAAUUCCCCGUCCAUCUCGAACAUUUUUGAAGAAAGAACGAUCAAAAUUGUUACCGCUCCCGUAGUCCAAAGCGAUACGUUUAUUUCCAUCGCCAUUUUUAGGGCAAAGCGAUUGGAGUGUAGGAAGGAACGAGGGAUCGAUGGUAGGAUCAGCACCCCCGGAGUUUGUGAAGUUGUAUAAUCUGUAGCUCACGAAUUGGCAAGCCACUGUUCCAAUAGUGUGUCCUCCUGCAACACAUUUUUGUACUAUAUGGUUUAGAAUGUUGCAUGCAUGCAGAUAGAAAAAUUUCGGAUGUCUGAUAAACGUAUGUAAUAUUGGCUUAUUGCUUACCAACAAGGGUAACAAGAUCUUGAGCGCUUAGACCAACAUCUGCAAAUUUUUUCUUCUGGACCGCGACUGAGUCUGUGAAACUCGGCAAAUUGGCGGUGUCGGACGCCAAUGACACUCGUCCGUCUCUCCGGCCAGUAGGCACGCGAUAAGUCAGUGCACCGACCUGCAUGUGAAAACAUAAGAACAAUGAGAUGCUGAUAUAACAAUGAUCCUACUUCGAAAUAGCAUAAAUUAUUUGAAUUUUUUGGUUAAAAUCAUAUAUAGCACAUUCGAAACAUUUAUCUUACUUCUACUGUGGCAUCACGAGCAGCAAGAGCAAGAAUAUCAGCACACGACACGACUCCGGGGCAUGCUGCCUCUAGCUGUGUUUUGGCAUCCUCAAUCACUUCAUAUCCUCUCAGCAGAAGAUUUGGCCUAGCGGUUUUCUCAGCAUUGCUGCCAUCGAUAAGAAUCGAAGCAUCGCAACCAUGAACGAAGCAAUCAUGGAAGACCAUUCUGAGCAGUCCGGGGGCAACAGUGGAAUCGGAGUUAACAUGUUUCUUAACGGUGGCUUGAACGAUGGAUUCCGCUCUGGGACAAGAGGUGGAAUAGAAGCCGACCCUAGUCUGAGCUAGAGCUAAGGGUGUGGCGACUAGAAGAACAAAUAGAAUAGAGAGUUUGCUAAGGAAAGAAUCCAUUUGAGUUUGUUAUGUGUUGUUAUAAAUUGAUUGUGUGUUUAGAGGAAACGAAGGUGGUGUAUUUAUAGGGACAUAAAAGUGCUAAAAUGGGCUAAACGUGUGGAGACCAGAGAGAACCAGGGUCAAUGAAAAAUACGUGGCAACGGAUUGGAAAAGUUGUCCACUGGUGAGUUGUAGUCCACUCUCGGGCUGCCCAAGUUGUUUGAUUCGUUGAUUGAUAGAAGAGUCAAAUGAAUGUUCAUACAUGCGGUUGCAUAGUUUAAGUUCAAUUUAUGUCAGAUUUUCUCAGACACGUACUCAGUGGAUUAAUAUUUUGGCAUUUACCUCAUAUAUACAUAAAAGUUUGCUCAGAAACUAAUUCCUUCUUGUAAAUUAUAGAGUAAUAAUUAUUGAUUAGAUAUUCAAAAUUCCAACAAUUAUGGACUUACUCGAAAUUCAUUUUACGGUCUUAAAUCAUCGUACAUGCAGUAUUCUAAAAAUCCCCGAUUUAACCGAUAAAUCCCCUGCAAGGUCGGCCACCGAUUCGAUUUUUUAAAUCCGAUUAAUCCUUAUAUAUAUUCCUUAAUCGAAGUAUAUAUGAUAAAUUAUUAAAAUUAAAAUACUAUAUUACUUUAAGUAUGGUUUAUUAUAGAGUUUAUGAAUAUGGUAAAGAUAUUAGUUACUAAAUAGCUAAUAUAAUAAUAACUAAAUAUUAAAUAAUAUUUUAAUAUAAAAACAAAACCGAUUUUCACUCCGAUUAAUCCUUGCGAUUAAUCUCCGAUUUCCGAUUAAUCCCUGAAUCGGUAGCUCAACCGAUUAAGUCCGAUUCUCGAUUUCUGUAACACUGCAUACAUGUAUAAAUAAUAUCUCUAUCAUUUUUUUUUUAAUUUAUACUCAUUUUAUUCUAUUACAUCCACUCCAACUAAACACAACAUAAUUGUGUGUUUGUGUGUAAGCCUAAUAUUACAACUCUUGAAACAUAAUUUGAAAUUAGUUUUACAAAACUAUAUUUGAAAUGUUGUAAAUCAUUGUGCUUGCGGAAAAUGGUGAAGUGGGAACCGGAAAAGAAGCUUAAAUAAGUGUGAAACGCAUACGCAGGCGAAUACCUUGAUGUUACGUUCUAUCAAGGAAACUAAAGUAAUGGCGAAGCUGUUGCAAACUUAAUUUUGUGUGGAGUAUUAGUACUCCAAAUGGAUAGCGUAAACAUGUUUUCUAUUACAAAGUUGUUAGGGUGUCAAAUACUCCGCUAACACUGACAUGCAUGCAUUCCAUGAUUAAAAAACUAAAAAUUACUAAAAGAGAAGGUGGAAACUAUUGACUCGGGGUUCAGCAAAAGUUUUCAAAAGAGUCAAAGCAAUGCGUGUGGGGUCGCGAAUAACUUACUCUGCAUUAUCAUGAAACUUCCUGCACUAGUAUUUAACUAUUCUUUGUCAAGCCUUCUACUUUACUCCCUCAAUUUGUUUUAUUUAACAUUUUAAUUUUUCACACGUAUUUUCUGGUGAAGUGAUCUGAUAAUAUAAUUAUUUUUAUUAUAUUUUUGCCAAUUAUGAUAUUGAUUAUAUAUUUUUAUUCUGAAAAUUAAAAUUUUGAAUUAUUUUUAGUUAUCUAGUCAGAAUAUUUAAAAAUAUGUAUUAGAAACCAAACGUCGAAUAAAAUAAUAAGAUCGAGCUAUAUGUCUAUCAGGGAGGCAAAAACCGCAUGCUGUAUAUGACUGUUCUCAAAAUCUACGUGCCGUGAUAAUCAAAUAGCGGUUUCGUAAAAGAGUGUGAGAAUAAAUUAAAGAGUUUAAGAAGUAAUUAUUCCAGUUAGUUUUCGAUACCUCUUGUGCAAAAAUACAAAUUUUUGCAUAAAACACAGAACUCCUCAUAUUUAAUUUAGAUGGAAUUAAAACACAAAAUAUAUUGUCUUUAAAUGAUUCUACUGAAUAUAUUUUUAAUCAUCGACAGAUUUUGGGAGGACAAAUUUCAAUCUGAACCCUGCAUCAUUCUUUUGAUCACAAAAGAUAUUAAUCAAAAACUUGUCUUCGUCUUCUCUGUUCAUAAGUCAGCUUUUACGCAACAGCUAUUUCAUUAAAGUUUUCUAAAGAUUAUUCAUGUUCGAUAGAAAAUUAUUGUCAGACAUUUUAAUUCACAAAUUAUAUUUCAAAAAUAUUACUAUUUCAUUUGAAAAUUUUAAAAUGUUAUAUAUAUAUUUCACCUUAAAUAUUUUAUUUGCUGAGUUUUGCAGGACAUCUUAUUCACGAUUACAUAUUUUUCUACUCCAUCACAUGGUUUUUUUGCUUACUUUUUAGUUAAACCAGUCAUUGUGUCCGACAGCAAAACCAACACGGACUAUAGGUAUCGAGGACGAUUUCUCUCUGAUGCUAUAGGUAUAUUAUUUGUGUGUAUGGUAGAAUGUAUAUCUAUUAUUUUUUUUUGUCACUUUAUAUGGCAAUUUUUCUUAGCUGUGAUAAUAGAUGAAAACAUGAGCUGAGUUGCUUUUGAGUUUUGACAUAUAAUGUUCAUGGAGAGUUUCAUGUUAAAUGCCUAAAAAAUGUUUACGGAGUAAGGCUGACAGACUAUAUGCACGUAGUAUGAAAAAGUAAGGGGCGACGGGCGUCAUCAGCUCACCUUCACUACAAUAAAAUCGGGUACUUACGACAGAAAUUCGUAUCUAAAAAACAGCGCCGUCCUUGGAUCCGGCACUUCUCCCUUAUUUUUCAUUUGAAAAAAUAUUUAUAAAAAACUUAUGACAUCGUACUCUAGUAUUAUAAUUAUUUGAUUUUUUCAAUUGAAAAAAUAUUAAAAUAUAUAAAAAGCUUACAACGGAUUCGUUUUUCGUCGUAACAAUUUAAGACGGAACUCUACUAAUCCAUAGUAACUUUAUACGCGUGGUCCCUCAUAAGUUAUCUGUUACUAUAACUUAUAAAUGACUUUAUUUGUUGUAGCGCUUGUCGUAUACCCCGGCCUGGUAUAAUUGGCCCCAUCUCCUUCAUUCUAUGCACCACCGUAUAUUUGACUGAACAGACACAUUGCAUCACCAGAUGCCCCACCAUUCAUGAAAUCCCAGUUUUAGUAGAAUAGCACUCAAAUAAGUGAAUAACUCCACUCAAUCUUGUCAUAGCCUUAGCCAUGUCCAACUUAAACGCCAUAAACCCCUCCUUUCCUGUUCUCUUUAGUUUGUGAUAGUGCAUGACUUCAUAACUUAUAAUUAGAAUAUCUAUCUAGGGUUAAAUUUGUAGUGAUAAAUUAAAAUUAAUUUUUUAAUUAAACCGAUCGAUCACAAAAUUAUAAUGUCUUUUCAUUAUAUUUUAUUUUAUAUCAAUUUUUCAGUAUUUGAAUAUCAAAUUCUUAAAAUCAAAAUUAUUUUAAUUUGUAUAUAUCGAUAUAUACAGAAAUCAAUGAUUACUGGGUUAGUCAUUGAUAUUAUAAGAUUAAAAAAAAAUAUCGUAUACUAUUGGGUUUAUUUCCAUCGCCAUUUUUAGGGCAAAGCGAUUGGAGUGUAGGAAGGAACGAGGGAUCGAUGGUAGGAUCAGCACCCCCGGAGUUUGUGAAGUUGUAUAAUCUGUAGCUCACGAAUUGGCAAGCCACUGUUCCAAUAGUGUGUCCUCCUGCAACACAUUUUUGUACUAUAUGGUUUAGAAUGUUGCAUGCAUGCAGAUAGAAAAAUUUCGGAUGUCUAUAAACGUAUGUAAUAUUGGCUUAUUGCUUACCAACAAGAGUUACAAGAUCUUGAGCGCUAAGACCAACAUCUGCAAAUUUUUUCUUCUGGACCGCGACUGAGUCUGUGAAACUCGGCAAAUUGGCGGUGUCGGACGCCAAUGACACUCGUCCAUCUCUCCGGCCAGUAGGCACGCGAUAAGUCAGUGCACCGACCUGCAUGUGAAACAUGGGAACAAUGAGAACUGAUAUAACAAUGAUCCUAUUAUGCUGCAGAAAUAUUUGAAUUAUUUUCUUAAAACCGCGAAUAUAGCACAUUCGAAACAUUUAUCGUACUUCGACUGUGGCAUCACGAGCAGCCAGAGCAAGAAUAUCAGCACAAGACACGACUCCGGGGCAUGCUGCCUCUAGCUGUGUUUUGGCAUCCUGAAUGACUUCAUAUCCUCUUAACAAAAGAUUUGGCCUAGCUGUUUUCUCAGCAUUGCUGCCAUCGAUAAGAAUCGAUGCAUCGCAGCCAUGAACGAAGCAAUCGUGGAAGACCAUUCUGAGCAAUCCUGGGGCAACAGUGGAAUCGGAGUUAACAUGUUUUUUAACGGUGGCUUGAACGAUGGAUUCCGCUCUGGGACAAGAGGUGGAAUAGAAGCCGACCCUAGUCUGAGCUAGAGCUAAGGGUGUGGCGAGUAGAAGAACAAAUAGAAUAGAGAGUUUGCUAAGGAAAGAAUCCAUUUGAGUUUGUAAUGUGUUGUUGUUAUAUAUAAGUUGAUUGUGAGUUUAAAGGAAACGAAGGUAAAAUAAUAGUACUUUUGAUGAUGUGGCAUGACAUGGACCGGCACUCUCGUUAGCACCCCCAUUGGAGAUGUUGGAGUGCUAUUGGGGUGCCAAGUGAGUUGGCUUUGGGGUGCCAAAAGUUAGCAACCCAUAAAGUAGGGUGCCAACUUCUUUUGUAGUCCCAAUAAUACAUAAAAUAUAGAUUUGUGGUCCCCAAUAAUACAUAGAAUAUUAUCUCUAUUAAUAAAGUUGGCAUUUUGGAGUGCCAACCAUUGUAGUGUAUUUUGAAAUAAGGGUGCUAGAAAUGAUUUGGAAGAAUGAGAAUAUAAAAAAUAAUAUUUUGAGUUAUGUGUCAAAAUUGACACCCAUCGAAGGGUGCCAACCAUCGGAGAUGCUCUAAUUAAGACACCAUAUGGUUGGGCUUUUAACACACUUGUCCGGCUUGCUGCCUUCACCCAACAAACUGACCUAUUUAUCACGCAUCACAAUUCGAAUGCAAUCUAGACAUCAUAUUUUUCUUAUUUGCUUCCUGCCAAUCCAUAAUCUGUUUAGAGCUCAUCUCGAACAUGUACUCGAGUCAGUUUCAUUCUCUUGCAAGACUUUCCAGUUCCUUGCAAACCAAACUCCUGCUAAAACCUUAUCAAUGCCGAUCAAAUUAUUCGUUGACUCUGAUAUGCUGCGCCUGCACAUUCUACCUCCCGCAUAUCUAACUCAAUUUUCUGAAAUGUUUCAGAUUGCGCGAGUUAGUAGUACAUGACAAACGUACAGCAUUCGGUUUAAUCGUUUCUUUUCUGUGGGCUCCUUGUGUUUGUAAAAUGACAGCUUAUUUAAAAGCUAAAUAAAUUUCUCCAGAAAGUUCUAUUCAAACUCGCAAACCGCAGAGACAGCUAAUUAAAUCAUAACUAAAUGAUAACACUACAAGAAAACAGUCAAUAGACAUCGGUUUUUGAUGUGGCAUAUAAUAGUACUUUUGAUGAUGUGGCAUGACAUGGACCGGCACUCUCGUUAGCACCCCCAUUGGAGAUGUUGGAGUGCUAUUGGGGUGCCAAGUGAGUUGGCUUUGGGGUGCCAAAAGUUGGCAACCCAUAAAGUAGGGUGCCAACUUCUUUUGUAGUCCCAAUAAUACAUAAAAUAUAGAUUUGUGGUCCCAAUAAUACAUAGAAUAUUAUCUCUAUUAAUAAAGUUGGCAUUUUGGAGUGCCAACCAUUGUAGUGUAUUUUGAAAUAAGGGUGCUAGAAAUGAUUUGGAAGAAUGAGAAUAUAAAAAAUAAUAUUUUGAGUUAUGUGUCAAAAUUGACACCCAUCGAAGGGUGCCAACCAUCGGAGAUGCUCUAAUUAAGACACCAUAUGGUUGGGCUUUUAACACACUUGUCCGGCUUGCUGCCUUCACCCAACAAACUGACCUAUUUAUCACGCAUCACAAUUCGAAUGCAAUCUAGACAUCAUAUUUUUCUUAUUUGCUUCCUGCCAAUCCAUAAUCUGUUUAGAGCUCAUCUCGAACAUGUACUCGAGUCAGUUUCAUUCUCUUGCAAGACUUUCCAGUUCCUUGCAAACCAAACUCCUGCUAAAACCUUAUCAAUGCCGAUCAAAUUAUCCGUUGACUCUGAUAUGCUGCGCCUGCACAUUCUACCUCCCGCAUAUCUAACUCAAUUUUCUGAAAUGUUUCAGAUUGCGCGAGUUAGUAGUACAUGACAAACGUACAGCAUUCGGUUUAAUCGUUUCUUUUCUGUGGGCUCCUUGUGUUUGUAAAAUGACAGCUUAUUUAAAAGCUAAAUAAAUUUCUCCAGAAAGUUCUAUUCAAACUCGCAAACCGCAGAGACAGCUAAUUAAAUCAUAACUAAAUGAUAACACUACAAGAAAACAGUCAAUAGACAUCGGUUUUUAACCGAUGUCUAUGUUCUUUCCGGACCGAUGUCUUUGUCGGUGAUGUCUAUAUAUAGACAUCGGUCAAAAACCGAUGUCUGAAAUAAGAUAUGUGUGAGAGAAGACGUACCCACUUCGAUUCAAACUUACCAAGCUGAGUAGAGAGUAGAGAACACCGGAGAUAGGUGAUGAGUGGUGGUGAGCGGAGCGGCAGUGAUGAGUGAGCAGUAGUGUUGAGCGGAGCGGUGGUGAGCGGUGGUGAGCGGGCUGAGUGGGUGGUGAGCGGUGGUGAGUGGGUGGGCUGAGUGAGAGAGAUGGUCGAGAGAUCAGAGAGAUAGUCGAGAGAGAGAGGUCGAGUGAGAGAGAGAGUCGAGUGAGAGAGUUUGUAAGAAAUGUUGUAGUUAUUUUAGUUAUUAGUUUAGAUUUUUGAUUUUAAUUUUAUGUUAAAUAUGUCUGAAGAGAAGGAGAGAAGCCUAAAAUGUUCUAAGGCGGAGGAAUAUUUGGUUCUAACGCGGGGUUUUUUUGACUAAGGAGGGGAGAGAGGGAUGGCCGUGUGUUUUGAAUUUUUUUAAUGAUAUUUUAGACAUCGGUUUAAAUUUAAUUGAUGUCUUAAAAUGCUAAAGACAUCGCCUCUAGAAUGGGUGAUGUUAAAAACAUUUUUAACAUCGGCGGCAAAUCUGACCGAUGUCUGACCUAUGAUGUCUAUUAACAAGUUUCUUGUAGUGUAAAAACACAUAUUUCGCGCCAUUUUAUUAUUCCUUCCAAUUAUUUCACAUAAUUUAUGAUGUUUAAAUAUCUAAUUUUAAUUGUUAUGUCAAAAAAAAAUCUCAACAAAAAUAUAAACUAUACACUUUUGUUGAUUUACGAAAUGGAAAAUUUAAAUAUAUUUAAAUAUUUUAAAUUACAUGGAAAAAUUCGAAUAAGAUGUAAAGGGAGGGGAGCACUAUUUUGCGACUGAUAGAUGGAAUUGCAUGCUUAUAUUACAUAACCUUCCCUACUCAAGUUUCAAAUUGUUAUUGUUUAAAAAAAAGUAGGGUUUUGGAAACCCCCCCAAAUUCUACAUCCUUUUUAAUUAAUUGCUGAACAAAUUUUGCGAAUUUCACCGGCACUCCCCGUCUUCACUCCAACAUUCAUCAUUUUGAUCAUGGCCUUUCCAAACUCAACAUUCAGAGUCAGUCCAGCCAAUCCUCUAAUACCCAUAAAUCUCUGUGCAUCUCGUACAUUUUUGAAGAACGAACGAUCAAAAUUGUCGCCACUUCCAUAAUCUAACGGGAUUCGUUUGUUUCCAUCACCAUUUUGCGGGCAAAGAGAUUGGAGUGUAGGAAGGAAUUUGGAAUUGAUUGUUGGAUCCGCACCGCUAGUAUUUUUGAAGUUGUAUAGUCUGUAACUUACGAAUUGGCAUGCAACGGUUCCAAUAGUGUGUCCUCC